GACGAACGCUGGCGGCGUGGAUUAGGCAUGCAAGUCGGACGGUAGGGCUUUAUCGUAAGAUAGAGUUUGAGAGUGGCGAACGGGUGAGUAACACGUAGGAAUCUACCCUUAAGACGGGGACAACCCAGGGAAACUUGGGCUAAUACCGGAUGAGAGUGCGAGAGAUUGCAUUUAAAAGGAUGGCGAAAGUUGUCGCUUAGGGAUGAGCCUGCGGUCUAUUAGUUAGUUGGUGAGGUAAGAGCUCACCAAGGCGAUGAUAGAUAGGCGGCCUUAACGGGUGUCGCCCACACUGGGAUUGAGAUACGGCCCAGACUCCUACGGGAGGCAGCAGUCGAGAAUAGUCUACAAUGGUCGAAGACUGAUAGUGCGACGCCGCGUGAACGAUGAAUCCCUUCGGGGUGUAAAGUUCUUUUAAUAUGUGAGCAGUGCUUCUUAUAUUAACAGUAUGGGGAGAGAGAUAUUAGCAUAUGAAUAAGCAAACGGCUAAACUCCGUGCC
Molecule: ribosomal RNA, 497 nt
Filed under: uncultured bacterium
Lineage: Bacteria
Description: bacterial SSU rRNA
Rfam family: Bacterial small subunit ribosomal RNA
Source: RNAcentral